CUCAUAAGUAAUAAAAGGUUCGUUUAGGUCCCUUAACUUUAUUUUAAGUAUCGGUUUAAUCAUUUAUGUUAAUUUAAUUCAAAAAAGCGUUAAGUUUAGGGACGAAACUAAUACUAAUUAAAUAAGUUAAGGGACCAAUCUAACACUAAUUAAAUAAGUUAAGGGACCAAAACUUGCCGUUUUUUGAAUUAAAUUAAUAGAAAAGAUCAAACCGAUACUUUAAAUAAAAUUAAAGGACCUAAACGAACUUUUUAUUACUUAUGGGA
Medicago truncatula (barrel medic) is the source of this 266-nucleotide microRNA precursor. It matches the Rfam family "MIR2655 microRNA precursor family". The record is from Rfam. Lineage: Eukaryota; Viridiplantae; Streptophyta; Magnoliopsida; Fabales; Fabaceae.